UGCGAGUCAUUGUAGCAAUACAAGGCAGACGGCUCAGUAACGCGUAGUCAAUCUACCCUAUGGACGGGAAUAACCUCGGGAAACUGAGAAUAAUGCCCGAUAGAACAUUAUGCCUGGAAUGGUUUAUGUUUCAAAUGAUUUAUCGCCAUAGGAUGGGACUGCGGCCUAUCAGUUUGUUGGUGAGGUAAUGGCCCACCAAGACUAUUACAGGUACGGGCUCUGAGAGGAGUGGCCCGGAGAUGGGUACUGAGACACGGACCCAGGCCCUAUGGGGCGCAGCAGGCGAGAAAACUUUGCAAUGUGCGAAAGCACGACAAGGUUAAUCCGAGUGGUUUCUGCUAAAGAAACCUUUUGUCAGUCCUAGAAACACUAACGAAUAAGGGGUGGGCAAGUUCUGGUGUCAGCCGCCGCGGUAAAACCAGCACCUCAAGUGGUCAGGAUGAUUAUUGGGCCUAAAGCAUCCGUAGCUCGUUUUGUAAGUUUUCGGUUAAAUCCAUGCGCUUAACGUAUGGGCUGCCGGGAAUACUGCAUAACUAGGAAGUGGGAGAGGUAGACGGUACUCGGUAGGAAGGGGUAAAAUCCUUUGAUCUAUUGAUGACCACCUGUGGCGAAGGCGGUCUACCAGAACACGUUCGA
RNAcentral lists this ribosomal RNA (636 nucleotides) under uncultured archaeon. Its description in RNAcentral is "bacterial SSU rRNA". It matches the Rfam family "Archaeal small subunit ribosomal RNA", at positions 52 to 694 of the family's 1478-position model. The record is from RNAcentral.